GACGGGUGAGUAAUGCCUAGGAAUCUGCCUGGUAGUGGGGGACAACGUUUCGAAAGGAACGCUAAUACCGCAUACGUCCUACGGGAGAAAGCAGGGGACCUUCGGGCCUUGCGCUAUCAGAUGAGCCUAGGUCGGAUUAGCUAGUUGGUGAGGUAAUGGCUCACCAAGGCUACGAUCCGUAACUGGUCUGAGAGGAUGAUCAGUCACACUGGAACUGAGACACGGUCCAGACUCCUACGGGAGGCAGCAGUGGGGAAUAUUGGACAAUGGGCGAAAGCCUGAUCCAGCCAUGCCGCGUGUGUGAAGAAGGUCUUCGGAUUGUAAAGCACUUUAAGUUGGGAGGAAGGGUUGUAGAUUAAUACUCUGCAAUUUUGACGUUACCGACAGAAUAAGCACCGGCUAACUCUGUGCCAGCAGCCGCGGUAAUACAGAGGGUGCAAGCGUUAAUCGGAAUUACUGGGCGUAAAGCGCGCGUAGGUGGUUCGUUAAGUUGGAUGUGAAAUCCCCGGGCUCAACCUGGGAACUGCAUCCAAAACUGGCGAGCUAGAGUAUGGUAGAGGGUGGUGGAAUUUCCUGUGUAGCGGUGAAAUGCGUAGAUAUAGGAAGGAACACCAGUGGCGAAGGCGACCACCUGGACUGAUACUGACACUGAGGUGCGAAAGCGUGGGGAGCAAACA
Molecule: ribosomal RNA, 677 nt
Filed under: Pseudomonas sp.
Lineage: Bacteria; Pseudomonadati; Pseudomonadota; Gammaproteobacteria; Pseudomonadales; Pseudomonadaceae
Description: bacterial SSU rRNA
Rfam family: Bacterial small subunit ribosomal RNA
Source: RNAcentral